This 30-nucleotide non-coding RNA is filed under the name Cricetulus griseus (Chinese hamster). The record is from RNAcentral. Lineage: Eukaryota; Metazoa; Chordata; Mammalia; Rodentia; Cricetidae.
CUACUUUGGAAUAAAGAGAAUGAUGAUAGG